GGGGGCGUUUUUGGAUUCGACGGGGGUAGAUCGAGCAUGGGUAGCGGGUAGUGGGGACGCGGCCGCUUUAUCAACGCUAAAGCCUAUUAAAUGGCAAACAACAAAACAACUACGCUUUCGCAGCUUAAUAACCUGUGAGCGUGCUCCUCUCUUGCAUCGCCCAUGUGCCGGAUGUAGGGGCUAACCUAUAGUGGGAUACGCCGAUCGGUCUCCGCCUGGGGUCGACGGAAGAAGACAAUCAGGCUGACCCAAAGGGAAUCUUGUGACAGGGAGUCUCUAGGGUGACAUCAAAUCUGUCACUACACCCGUAGAAGCCUAUGUGGCGUUGCCUUCGGACAGGGGUUCGACUCCCCUCGCCUCCAU
This 363-nucleotide transfer-messenger RNA is filed under the name Paenibacillus antibioticophila. It matches the Rfam family "transfer-messenger RNA". From Rfam's summary of the family: Bacterial tmRNA, also known as 10Sa RNA or SsrA, is named for its dual tRNA and mRNA-like properties. Its role is to liberate the mRNA from a stalled ribosome. Lineage: Bacteria; Bacillati; Bacillota; Bacilli; Caryophanales; Paenibacillaceae. The record is from RNAcentral.